GAGAUUUGGGGAAUAAAUCCCCUAAGGUUGGAUUGGACGUGAGGGCGGGGGAGACCCAUCUACUUCUGUCUUGCGGUGUCGGUUCCGAAGGAUGAAAAGAAAUACGAUCGCCAAAUCGAAGGAGGACUCGACGAAAGAGCUCAUACGGGAAAGAUCUGCGGCGGAAGACUGGUUACCGACGUCAACUCUGGACGUGGAGGAAGGAGGAGAAGGCAGCGACACCCUCUGGAGAUUGGAGAGAAGGCUCGCCGGAAAAUCGAAGGAUUUGAAGUCCCGGCGGCGCGCGGGUGCGUGUGACGGAUGCAGGCGACGGUGGCGACCUCCCCACGGUCGAUGACGAAGAUGAUGGAGCCUAGCGGUGGAAAGAUCGACGAAUUCCAAGAUGUUAGGAGCGCACCGGAUUCUGGAAAGGGGCUCGCCGGCGGUAACUGGUCUUGCCAGAGCUAGAGGUUGAUGACGACUGACCAAAGCACAAGUCCUAUACAUCUGCAGGACCAAACUGCAAGUUCUAGAGAGCCCAGAGACCUAUUUGCAGCCUGGAAAAUUAUAUAAGUGAGCUGACUGUAACUUCUAUAAAUUUAGAGGACUGUCUCUGUAAGUUUUCAAAUUCGUCAGUAAACUGACAUUUGUGCCCCUCUAAGUUUCAGCAGUUUGCAAACUAGUAAGCGAGGCAUAACUCGACCGUUUGACCUCCAAACGACCCAAACGACGCACCGUCGUAAGCUACGGUUUCGUGGAAGUAAGGGGAAUCGCCUCGAAUUUUAUUCUGACAUUUCAUAUCGUAAAUGAG
Molecule: long non-coding RNA, 790 nt
Filed under: Linum usitatissimum (flax)
Lineage: Eukaryota; Viridiplantae; Streptophyta; Magnoliopsida; Malpighiales; Linaceae
Description: long non-coding RNA (LUSI_LNC003542)
Source: RNAcentral